RNAcentral lists this ribosomal RNA (446 nucleotides) under uncultured bacterium. RNAcentral describes it as "bacterial SSU rRNA". It matches the Rfam family "Bacterial small subunit ribosomal RNA", at positions 329 to 792 of the family's 1533-position model. The record is from RNAcentral.
UUCCAGACUCCUACGGGAGGCAGCAGUGGGGAAUAUUGCACAAUGGGGGAAACCCUGAUGCAGCGACGCCGCGUGAGUGAAGAAGUAUUUCGGUAUGUAAAGCUCUAUCAGCAGGGAAGAAAAUGACGGUACCUGACUAAGAAGCUCCGGCUAAAUACGUGCCAGCAGCCGCGGUAAUACGUAUGGAGCAAGCGUUAUCCGGAUUUACUGGGUGUAAAGGGAGCGCAGGCGGUCCGGCAAGUCUGAUGUGAAAGGCGGGGGCUCAACCCCCGGACUGCAUUGGAAACUGUCGGGCUGGAGUGUCGGAGGGGCAGGCGGAAUUCCUAGUGUAGCGGUGAAAUGCGUAGAUAUUAGGAGGAACACCGGUGGCGAAGGCGGCCUGCUGGACGACAACUGGCGCUGAGGCUCGAAAGCGUGGGGAGCAAACAGGAUUAGAUACCCGUGUA